UGGGAUAUUCCAAUUCGUAUGAUGUCAAAUGCUUAGAGGACCAAGAGAUAGAAAAUUUAACCCGGAAAGAAGAUUUUUAUCAAUUUUAAGAAAUCGAAAAGGAGAUAGCCAGUGGUCACUUUGCUAUUGUCAAAAAAUGCCACGAUUAGAAUGACAAGCGAUUGGAAUUCGCGGCAAAAUUUAUACGGAAAAGGCGUAGGGGAAAAACUUUUAGAGCUUCAGUUCUUAACGAAAUACGCGUCCCGAAACAUGACAGAUUUAUAUCCCUGUAUCAAUGUUAUGAAACCAGUCGGAAAUUAUAAAGAUCAUGGAAUAUGCUCACGGUGGAGAAAUAUUCCAGACACUGGAAGAGUGCUUGCCUGACAAAAAGGUGUUGAUUGAGGAAAAUGUGACCGCUCGCGUGAAAAGACAAGUUGUAGAAGCCCUAGCUUAUUUGCAUUCUUUAAACAUUGUCCAUUUAGA
Gordionus sp. m RMFG-2023 is the source of this 462-nucleotide long non-coding RNA. RefSeq lists it as uncharacterized. Lineage: Eukaryota; Metazoa; Nematomorpha; Gordioida; Chordodea; Parachordodidae. The transcript is spliced from 3 exons. The record is from RefSeq and is a predicted model, not a curated record.